Molecule: transfer RNA, 72 nt
Filed under: Camelus bactrianus (Bactrian camel)
Lineage: Eukaryota; Metazoa; Chordata; Mammalia; Artiodactyla; Camelidae
Also listed under: 2 other names
Rfam family: tRNA
About the family: Transfer RNA (tRNA) molecules are approximately 80 nucleotides in length. Their secondary structure includes four short double-helical elements and three loops (D, anti-codon, and T loops). Further hydrogen bonds mediate the characteristic L-shaped molecular structure. tRNAs have two regions of fundamental functional importance: the anti-codon, which is responsible for specific mRNA codon recognition, and the 3' end, to which the tRNAs corresponding amino acid is attached (by aminoacyl-tRNA synthetases). tRNAs cope with the degeneracy of the genetic code in two manners: having more than one tRNA (with a specific anti-codon) for a particular amino acid; and 'wobble' base-pairing, i.e. permitting non-standard base-pairing at the 3rd anti-codon position.
Source: Rfam by way of RNAcentral
GAGGGUGUAGCUCAGUGGCAGAGCACAUGCCUAGCAUACACAAGGUCCUGGGUUCAAUCCCCAGUGCUUCCA